CGGCCUACAAAAUACCAUCAGAGUUCACAGUAUUUAUUUAUUUAUUAUUUGAUUGCAUUUUGUCAAGAGAAUAUAUAUUUAUCUGCUGGACUGCAGUAGAGUUGAAGUGUUUUGAGAAUCAACACAACAUGUAUUACCUGGGACAAUGAAACACAUACGGAUACUGUGUAAUACAUGCAUCUGUUUGCCCAGGCAUUGACUUCAGAUCCUGCAGUGACUCAGACCGCUCCAAAAACCAGUCAAGCCGCAGCUGAUCCUGAAGAUGGUGUUUCCUAUGCCUCCAUCAGCUUCACCAAGAAGACCAACAGUAAAGCCCGGGUAAGAUGUCAUAGUAGUGUUGGUAGUGAAUGAAGAAAAAAAUAUAUAAAUGUUACUUUUAAAUCCCUUAUAAUCUUGUGAUUGGGGUGAUAUGUUUGCCUUGUUGUGUUACACUGAGUUGCCGUGCAUUGCACUGGUUUUUUUUAAACCAAGGUAAUUUUAUUUAUCAUUAUACAACAUAAGGUUGUACAAUGAAACUAAAGCUCAUAGUCCCUUCAUGCUACACAUGUAGAACAUAACACAUAAUUGAAUUUAUCUCAGAAUUGGUUAAGAUGUAAAAUAAAUCAAAUAAAACUACAUAUACAGUUAUUUAUAUACAUAUACACAUGUACAUAUACACCCAUAACUAUGCAGAAUAAUAAUUCUGCAGUGCAUUUUUUGAAUUUGUUUCAGGGGAAAUUUGAAACAGCAGUAACAAUAUAGUGCUGAUAAUGUUGUAUCAUCUUCCAGUCCAUCCACUUUGACUGCGUUUGGACACCGAGCAUUAUCGAUGUAAACACAGAGUCCGCGUCCUCCUCUCUUGUCCUGAGCUCUGCACAUGUUGUACUGUGUCACUUAUGUCCUAUAGGUUCUGGGUGGUGAUGAGGCAGUGACCUACAGCACUGUGAGGGCGCCCUCCUCGUCUGCUGGAGCCUCCGCUGACCCCAACAGCCUCUAUGCUACCAUCAACUAACCUAGACAUAGAGUUAUUAUUUUACAUGAAUUCUUCAUCGUAAAAUCUUGUCAAUGUUUAUUGAAAAAGUGACCAUGGAUUGACUGUGUUGAUUCUUGUGGAGAAAUUGUCGAUGAAAUCCAAAUGUUAGACAGUAUUUUAUGUUUAAUCCUCAUUUUGUGUAAUUCAUUGCUAUUUUCUUGUAUUAUAAUGUUGAAAUUUUGUUUUUAGCACAACCAGGUGUUCCCCUUUCUUUCCCUUGUUGCUG
This 1238-nucleotide long non-coding RNA is filed under the name Dicentrarchus labrax (European seabass). RNAcentral describes it as "lncRNA (ENSDLAG00005028862.1)". Lineage: Eukaryota; Metazoa; Chordata; Actinopteri; Moronidae. The record is from RNAcentral.